ACGUCAUGGUCUACCGUGCAUGCAGCAGCCAAUCGGGAGGCGGAAUGCAGUCGCAGCGGCUGCCGGCGGAGAUGGACAAAGACUCCAGAGCGGGGAGCCAGGGCGUGACCCGGGGAGCGUCCCGGGGCGCGGGGAGCCCCCAGGCCAAAGCUGGUCCGGACUCACCUGGGGGCGGGGGUCGCGCGGCGGACGUGGCUGGCUCUGAGAGCAGACACUCCCAUGUUGGCCCUGAAGGAGCAAACUGCUAUUUUGUGGAGAGAGCCACAUGGCAAGGACCCAAAAGGGGUCUCUAGAAGCUAACAGUGGUCACCAGCUAAAGAUAGCAAGAUGGGAAUCUCAGCUAUAUGGCUACAAGAAAAUUACUUCUGCCAACAACCUGAGGGACCCUGGAAGGCAGACUUCCCCUACUUGAUCUCCAGGUUAACAUUCACAUGACUCAAAAUCCCAGAGAACAAGAGGAUAUUUCCACCCCAGCACCAUCCAAUCAACUUCACUCCUCAGGGGUGACUGCUGUUACCAGCUUAUUGUGUGAAUUGUCAGAAAUAUUCUCUGAAUAUACAAGAAUAUAAAGGUAUAUACAAUCUCCCUGUUUUGAACACAAAUGAUAGUGUACUAUGCACAUUGUUUUCAAAUUUACUUCUUUUAACUUAACAAUACAGUUUGGAACCCUGUCCCUGAUAGUACAUACAGAGCUGCCUUAUUCUUUAACAGACAUGUACUGUUUCAUUAUAUUAUAGUAGGGAUAAAGUUAUCCAGUCAGUCCCCUGUAGCUGAAAUUGAGUUUGUUUUCAACAAUUUGUUCUUUAUACUGCAGCUCUUGAAUGUGACAUUGAAGGUACUAAGUCUGAGCCAUGUGGGCCCCCAGAAUUUAUCCAUGUUCUGGGGGUAUUUGGGCUCAAUGGUAUCUCUGGAUCAAGCUUUUCCCAUCUCGCUUUCCUUUGGUUCUACCCACCCUACCCUCUAGGCCUGGAGUGGCAGCCUCAGCCCUUCACCAUGGCCUGCUCUCUGAUGUCCUCAGAACGCUGCCUGCUCCAUAAAAUCCUCCUGGCCCAACUCCCUUGAUUCUAGCCAAAAGUCUACCAUCAGGAGCUUUUGGCAGAAAACCCAGGGAUAGAGGUUCUGGAUGGAGUUUAAAUAUUUAUUGACCAAUUCCUAGAUUUACCUGGGGUCUCCCUGCUUAUUCUCCAUGUGCUUGUCUGGUUUUCUGCAAAUUUUGUCCUCCCUUUCUGCCAAAGGAAUUUACUGGAUCUAUUCUAAGCUCCUGGGGGCAGGACCUUACUAGGGAGCCUUCAAAAAAUAUGCCUUCUUAUAGGAGAAGAAACCCUUCCACCUGUAAUGUAAUUGCUUGGAAUGGUUGUUUAAAGAUCAUCUAGUACCCUAAGCUUGCAGAUGAGGAAACCGAAGCCUGAAUAAGGGAGAAGGAUUUGCCCAAGUAACAAAAUGAGUGAGUGAAAGGGACAGGACAGGAACUUGAGGCUUCUACCUCCAAUUCUUCCCUCUUCACCUUCUCCUCCUAGAGUUCAAACUCAGUCAACCUUUAUUCUCUUAAAAUCUAGUAUGUAAAGUUAAUAGAAUUGUGGUAUAUUCACACAAUUCAGCAAUAAAAAGGAAUAAACUACUAAUAUCUGCAACAAAUAUGGAUGAACUUCAAGGUAGCAUGCUACACAGAAGAAAUGAGAUGCAAAGAGUAUAUACCAUAUGAUUCCAUUUAUAUGAACUUCUAGAACAGACAAAAGCUAUACAUACCAACAAAGCAGAGCAAUAGCUACCUGGGAGUGGGUGGAAGGACUGAAUAAAAGGACAAUGAGAAACUU
Molecule: long non-coding RNA, 1814 nt
Organism: Manis javanica (Malayan pangolin)
Lineage: Eukaryota; Metazoa; Chordata; Mammalia; Pholidota; Manidae
Source: RefSeq, a predicted model, not a curated record